GGUGCAGCAGGCGCGAAAAACUGUACAAUACAGGCAACAGCGAUAAGGGAACCUUGAGUGCCAGGAAACAAAUCUGGCUGUCGAGAUGCCUAAAAAGCAUUUCAUAGCAAGGGCCGGACAAGCCCGGUCCCAGCCGCCGCGGUAACUCAGGCGGCUCGAGUGGUAACCGUUAUUAUUGGGUUUAAAGGGUCUGUAGCCGGCCGGAUAAGUCUCUUGAGAAAUCAGGCAGCUUAAAUGUCAGGCUUUCAGGAGAUACUGUUUGGCUUGAGGCCGGGAGAGGUGAGAGGUACUUCAGGGGUAGGGGUGAAAUCUUGUAAUCCUUGAAGGACCACCAGUGGCGAAGGGGUGUCACCAGAACGGACCUGACGGCAAGGGACGAAAGCUAGGGGCACGAACCGGAUUAGAUACCCGGGUAGUCCUAGCCGUAAACGAUACUCGCUAGGUGUGGGUCACGGUGCGACCGUUGUCGGUGCCGUAGGGAA
This 482-nucleotide ribosomal RNA is filed under the name uncultured archaeon. RNAcentral's name for it is "bacterial SSU rRNA". It matches the Rfam family "Archaeal small subunit ribosomal RNA", at positions 329 to 810 of the family's 1478-position model. The record is from RNAcentral.